This 164-nucleotide ribosomal RNA is filed under the name uncultured bacterium. RNAcentral describes it as "partial 16S rRNA". It matches the Rfam family "Bacterial small subunit ribosomal RNA", at positions 355 to 511 of the family's 1533-position model. The record is from RNAcentral.
UAGGGAAUCUUCCACAAUGGGCGAAAGCCUGAUGGAGCAACGCCGCGUGUGUGAUGAAGGGUUUCGGCUCGUAAACACUGUUGUAAGAGAAGAAGUGACAUUGAGAGUAACUGUUCAAUGUGUGACGGUAUCUUACCAGAAAGGAACGGCUAAAUACGCGCCAG